ACUGCUUCGUGGGAUGAAAACAUGAGAUUGUAAUAUAAUAUUGGAACAAGCAAAACGUCGAAGUGGAGUCUCCAGGAUCAACACACCUAUGGUCAACGCUGUUGAGAUAAUCUGAAGAUCAAUGAUCCUAGUCAUCUUGGCCAAGGAAUUCUUCAACAUAUACAUAUCUUCUUCGUACCCUCACUCAACUCGUCACAUCGGCUACAGCUACGACGAUAGUGAAGCUGACACCGAC
Molecule: long non-coding RNA, 235 nt
Organism: Rhipicephalus sanguineus (brown dog tick)
Lineage: Eukaryota; Metazoa; Arthropoda; Arachnida; Ixodida; Ixodidae
Exons: 3
Source: RefSeq, a predicted model, not a curated record